RNAcentral lists this ribosomal RNA (472 nucleotides) under uncultured bacterium. Its description in RNAcentral is "partial 16S ribosomal RNA". It matches the Rfam family "Bacterial small subunit ribosomal RNA", at positions 28 to 507 of the family's 1533-position model. The record is from RNAcentral.
GACGAACGCUGGCGGCGUGCUUAACACAUGCAAGUCGAACGCUGAAGCUUGGUGCUUGCACUGGGUGGAUGAGUGGCGCACGGGUGAGUAAUACGUGAGUAACCUGCCCUUGACUCUGGGAUAAGCCUGGGAAACUGGGUCCAAUACUGGAUACGACAUGUCACCGCAUGGUGGUGUGUGGAAAGGGUUUUACUGGUUUUGGAUGGGCUCACGGCCUAUCAGCUUGUUGGUGGGGUAAUGGCUCACCAAGGCGACGACGGGUAGCCGGCCUGAGAGGGUGACCGGCCACACUGGGACUGAGACACGGCCCAGACUCCUACGGGAGGCAGCAGUGGGGAAUAUUGCACAAUGGGCGGAAGCCUGAUGCAGCGACGCCGCGUGAGGGAUGACGGCCUUCGGGUUGUAAACCUCUUUCAGCACGGAAGAAGCGAAAGUGACGGUACGUGCAGAAGAAGCGCCGGCUAACUACGUG